CCCUUAGAUGUCCUGGGCCGCACGCGUGCUACACUGACGCCUACAGCGAGUACUUCCCAGCCCCGAGAGGUGGCUGGUAAUCAGCAAUAGGCGUCGUGAUGGGGAUAGAUCUUUGGAAUUAUGGAUCUUGAACGAGGAAUGCCUAGUAAGCGCAGGUCAUUAGCCUGCGCUGAUUAAGUCCCUGCCCUUUGUACACACCGCCCGUCGCUCCUACCGAUUUCGAGUGGUCCGGUGAAUCUUUCGGACUGCAGCACUGCUUGGUCUCCAGGCUUUGCAGCGGAAAGUUUAGUGAACCUUAUCACUUAGAGGAAGGAGAAGUCGUANCA
This 326-nucleotide ribosomal RNA is filed under the name uncultured eukaryote. Its description in RNAcentral is "partial 18S ribosomal RNA". It matches the Rfam family "Eukaryotic small subunit ribosomal RNA", at positions 1470 to 1796 of the family's 1831-position model. The record is from RNAcentral.